RNAcentral lists this ribosomal RNA (480 nucleotides) under uncultured bacterium. RNAcentral's name for it is "partial 16S ribosomal RNA". It matches the Rfam family "Bacterial small subunit ribosomal RNA", at positions 28 to 523 of the family's 1533-position model. The record is from RNAcentral.
GACGAACGCUGGCGGCGUGCUUAACACAUGCAAGUCGAGCGAUGAAGCACCUUCGGGUGUGGAUUAGCGGCGAACGGGUGAGGAACACGUGAGGAAUCUGCCUUCCACUCUGGGAUAACUCCGGGAAACCGGGGCUAAUACCGGAUACUUUCAACUGGCGGCAUCGCCGGUUGAAGAAAGUUUUUCGGUGGAAGAUGACCUCGCGGCCUAUCAGCUUGUUGGGGGGGGAAAGGCUCACCAAGGCGACGACGGGUAGCCGGCCUGAGAGGGCGACCGGCCACACUGGGACUGAGACACGGCCCAGACUCCUACGGGAGGCAGCAGUGGGGAAUAUUGGGCAAUGGAGGAAACUCUGACCCAGCGACGCCGCGUGAGGGAUGAAGGCCUUCGGGUUGUAAACCUCUUUCAGCAGGGAAUAAGCGAAAGUGAAGGUACCUGCAGAAGAAGCACCGGCUAACUAUGUGCCAGCCGCCGCCGUAA